This 89-nucleotide transfer RNA is filed under the name Friedmanniomyces endolithicus. RNAcentral's name for it is "tRNA-Arg". RNAcentral also lists the same sequence under 1 other name. The record is from RNAcentral. Lineage: Eukaryota; Fungi; Ascomycota; Dothideomycetes; Mycosphaerellales; Teratosphaeriaceae.
AUGGUCGUGUGGCCCAAUGGCAAGGCGCUUGACUACGAAUCAAGAGAUUCCAGGUUCGAGUGAGUCAUAUCAGUACCCGAACAUCCACA